Long non-coding RNA from Acinonyx jubatus (cheetah), 2220 nucleotides. RefSeq lists it as uncharacterized. The record is from RefSeq and is a predicted model, not a curated record. The transcript is spliced from 3 exons. NCBI's taxonomy places the organism in Eukaryota, Metazoa, Chordata, Mammalia, Carnivora, Felidae.
UAUAUAAAUAUACACACACACACAAGUAUAUACACACAGCAAUCAGUUAUUUGAACAACAGCUUCCUAUUCUAUUUUUCUGUAAAUUUGAAACAUUUCACACAAAAAAGUAAAUGGAUAUAUUUUACUUAAAAGGGAGGGGGGCUUCAUAUAUACAUCUCAAGUUCAAGAAGUCCUGUGUUAAAAGGAAAAUUGUUGUAAUGGGACCCUGAAGACUUAAGCACACUGUCUCCUGUGUCCCAGGCAAGUCUCACAAGGGCCUCGGUUUUUUUCUCAUCUGUACAAUGAUUGAGGUAGAUGAUAUCUAAGGGCCUUGUGCCUCCAAUAUUUUAUGACUCCACAGAGAAGAAUUACAAUUCUUUUUUUUUUUAUGUUUUUUCAUGUUUUUUAAAGUUAUUUUUGAAGGAGAGAGACAGAGCAUGAGUGGGGGAGGAGCAGAGAGAGAGGGACACACAGAAUCUGUAGCAGGCUCCAGGCUCUGAGCUGUCAGCACAGAGCCCGAUGCAGGGCUUGAACCCACAAACUGUGAGAUCAUGGCCUGGGUCAAAGUCGGACGCUUAACUGACUGAGCCACCCAGGCGCCCCGAGAAGAAUUAUAAUUCUUAAUGGGCUUGUUCACUAGUAUCCAAUAAACAUACACUAAAUCUUGAUCCCUAUUUUCAUCUCAUCAAUACCCCAUCCAAACUCGAAACUAAAAUGGCACAUCCCUCCAGAGAUACUGUAGGACAAAAAUCGGGAAAGCCGGCCUCCUUGGGUCUUUAAAAUGUACAUCAAACAAUCCUUACAAAGUAUUUCAAACCACUCUCUUAAUUUAAAGAGCUUAUACUUGCCUUCAGAGUUUUGCUAUUGAGAAAACCGAAUCCUGAGAACUGUGGGCCGUGUGUGACAGAAGACGCGAGGAAGAGAACCCUCGCUUCCAGGCAGGAUGGGGUGUGCGGGGGCUACACAAGCAGGGGACCAAGCCUGGAGGGUCUCCCAUGCUCUUCUCAGGAGCAGAACUUGUUCCAUAGGCCCAUUAUUUUCUACCUUGUUUCCACACAUGCAGGGUGGGUAACUCACACACGCAGGCAAACAACCAUCUCUCAGGUUGGGCUGCCACAGCGAUGGGAGUGGCUGGGGGGGUGGGUACGGACACCCAUCACUCCUCCUCUCCUUUCCCAGAUCCAGCCCCUGCAGAGGUGGUGGUCCCGAGCCUCUGCUGUAGGCUACAGGAAGCAGCUGAAGGAUUUUGAGCAGGACGUGACAUGGCAUGUUUUACUUUGGACAGAUCUCACUGGUGGUUGUGUGGAAAGGAUGGAUUCGAGAUGAAUAAGACAGAAGCAAAAACCAUGAGAUUUCUCCAGGGGGAAGGGUAAAAUGAUGGAAGGAAGCAGAGACAGCCAAGGAGAGACCCCCUCCGAGAAAGACAGUCAAAAUAAGAAUGUCCCCAGUGGUAGAGAGCGAACCAGAAAAGUGCAAUAUGCGAAAAGCCCAGGGAAGAGGACAGUGCGUACAAUAUGGUCUCAAUCAUCUUGGAAUGGAGACAAAAGGUCGUCACAUGCCCAAUAAAUCUCUCUGGAAAAAUUUAGGACAGUCCUUUUUGCACUCCCUGGUCAGAUGAAAUGAAGAGUUACCAUCCACGUUCCAGCUCUCCAUGUGCUUUCACCUCCCUUCCCUAGGAAACCUCAAUUCUUUCAACCUUCUCUUGAAGGUUGUAUUUUCAUUCUCUACUCUAAUUUCCAUUGCCUUCUCAGGAAACCUGCCAACUGUUUCCACAUCUUGGUUACGUUGCCAAGCUCAGAGAUGAAGAGGAUUCUAAUAGGAAUUUGACAAACGUCGAGUAUAAUAUACAGAAGGUUAACUUUUGGUCCGUACAAGUUAAGCUCCUAUCAUACAUUCUAGUCCCGUAUUUACUCUGGAAAUGGAUGUACUGCAUUCAGGAUCACCCUUUAUUUUAUGGUCCCUUUCAAACUUUGUCUGCCAUAAGAUGUCAAAAGCAGAAUGCCUACAAGAUUCAUCCAAGUUCUCAUGUGCAGACGUCCACAAUUCAUUCCUAUUUACUGCAGACAAGUAUUCCACUGUGUGGAUGAACUACAAUUUGUUUCCAGCAGACUCCUUCCAGAGACUUUUUCUAACACGGCCAUAUAAUAUCCCACUGUGUAACGACACACCAGCCCUCCACUGAUGGGCAUUCGGUUGUUUCAGACUUUUUGCUGUUACAAGUAUCUCUGCAGUGAAGAGC